GGCUACCUUGUUACGACUUCACCCCAGUCAUGAAUCACAAAGUGGUAAGCGCCCUCCCGAAGGUUAAGCUACCUACUUCUUUUGCAACCCACUCCCAUGGUGUGACGGGCGGUGUGUACAAGGCCCGGGAACGUAUUCACCGUGGCAUUCUGAUCCACGAUUACUAGCGAUUCCGACUUCAUGGAGUCGAGUUGCAGACUCCAAUCCGGACUACGACGCACUUUAUGAGGUCCGCUUGCUCUCGCGAGGUCGCUUCUCUUUGUAUGCGCCAUUGUAGCACGUGUGUAGCCCUGGUCGUAAGGGCCAUGAUGACUUGACGUCAUCCCCACCUUCCUCCAGUUUAUCACUGGCAGUCUCCUUUGAGUUCCCGACCUAAUCGCUGGCAACAAAGGAUAAGGGUUGCGCUCGUUGCGGGACUUAACCCAACAUUUCACAACACGAGCUGACGACAGCCAUGCAGCACCUGUCUCACAGUUCCCGAAGGCACCAAUCCAUCUCUGGAAAGUUCUGUGGAUGUCAAGACCAGGUAAGGUUCUUCGCGUUGCAUCGAAUUAAACCACAUGCUCCACCGCUUGUGCGGGCCCCCGUCAAUUCAUUUGAGUUUUAACCUUGCGGCCGUACUCCCCAGGCGGUCUACUUAACGCGUUAGCUCCGGAAGCCACGCCUCAAGGGCACAACCUCCAAGUAGACAUCGUUUACGGCGUGGACUACCAGGGUAUCUAAUCCUGUUUGCUCCCCACGCUUUCGCACCUGAGCGUCAGUCUUUGUCCAGGGGGCCGCCUUCGCCACCGGUAUUCCUCCAGAUCUCUACGCAUUUCACCGCUACACCUGGAAUUCUACCCCCCUCUACAAGACUCAAGCCUGCCAGUUUCGAAUGCAGUUCCCAGGUUGAGCCCGGGGAUUUCACAUCCGACUUGACAGACCGCCUGCGUGCGCUUUACGCCCAGUAAUUCCGAUUAACGCUUGCACCCUCCGUAUUACCGCGGCUGCUGGCACGGAGUUAGCCGGUGCUUCUUCUGCGGGUAACGUCAAUUGCUGCGGUUAUUAACCGCAACACCUUCCUCCCCGCUGAAAGUACUUUACAACCCGAAGGCCUUCUUCAUACACGCGGCAUGGCUGCAUCAGGCUUGCGCCCAUUGUGCAAUAUUCCCCACUGCUGCCUCCCGUAGGAGUCUGGACCGUGUCUCAGUUCCAGUGUGGCUGGUCAUCCUCUCAGACCAGCUAGGGAUCGUCGCCUUGGUGAGCCGUUACCUCACCAACAAGCUAAUCCCAUCUGGGCACAUCUGAUGGCAAGAGGCCCGAAGGUCCCCCUCUUUGGUCUUGCGACGUUAUGCGGUAUUAGCCACCGUUUCCAGUAGUUAUCCCCCUCCAUCAGGCAGUUUCCCAGACAUUACUCACCCGUCCGCCACUCGUCAGCAAAGCAGCAAGCUGCUUCCUGUUACCGUUCGACUUGCAUGUGUUAGGCCUGCCGCCAGCGUUCAAUCUGAGCCAGGAUCAAACUCU
This 1503-nucleotide ribosomal RNA is filed under the name Salmonella enterica subsp. enterica serovar Stanley. Its description in RNAcentral is "partial 16S ribosomal RNA". The record is from RNAcentral. Lineage: Bacteria; Pseudomonadati; Pseudomonadota; Gammaproteobacteria; Enterobacterales; Enterobacteriaceae.